This 1020-nucleotide ribosomal RNA is filed under the name Hyaloperonospora arabidopsidis. Its description in RNAcentral is "LSU rRNA". It matches the Rfam family "Eukaryotic large subunit ribosomal RNA", at positions 31 to 843 of the family's 3401-position model. The record is from RNAcentral. Lineage: Eukaryota; Oomycota; Peronosporomycetes; Peronosporales; Peronosporaceae.
AACUUAAGCAUAUUAAUAAGCGGAGGAAAAGAAACUAACAAGGAUUCCCCUAGUAACGGCGAGUGAAGCGGGAUGAGCUCAAGCUUAAAAUCUCUGUCACAUAUUUAUUAUGUGCGGCGAAUUGUAGUCUAUAGAAGCGUGGUCAGUGUAGGCACUUGAGAUAAGUUCCUUGAAAAAGGACAGCAUGGAGGGUGAAACUCCCGUUCAUACUUGAGUAGCUUAUGCGUACGACCCGUUUUCUUUGAGUCGCGUUGUUUGAGAAUGCAGCGCAAAGUAGGUGGUAAAUUCCAUCUAAAGCUAAAUAUUGGUGCGAGACCGAUAGCGAACAAGUACCGUGAGGGAAAGAUGAAAAGAACUUUGAAAAGAGAGUUAAAGAGUACCUGAAACUGCUGAAAGGGAACCGGAUCGUUUCUAGUGUCUAUAAUCUGUGACAUAUUUCAUUGGGGAGUGUGUGCGUGUGUAUACUAUGGCAGUGGCUUUUUUGGCUGCGCUUGGUGUGCGUGCUGUAUGUGCUUACUGGUGCCCUGUGUUGCGGUGGGACGUCAAGGUCGGUUUGUAUACUGCGGGAAAUGGCUAUUGAGGAGGUAGGGCUUACGCUUGCGUUUGUCUAUUAUAUCUUGGUAGUUGUGUCGUGGUUGAGACUGAGGUGUCUACAACGUGCUUAUGAGUGGGACUGUGUCUCCGUGUGCGCCGUGUGCGGAUAGCUUGCUAUGUGUGUGUGGUGGUGUGUGGAUUGAUGCGGGCUUUAACUUGUUGCCGUUCGGGACGUUGGCGAAAUAGAGCGAUUUGACCCGUCUUGAAACACGGACCAAGGAGUCUAACAUGUGUGCAAGUGUUAGGGUGUGGAAACCCAAGCGCGAAAUGAAAGUAAAGGAUAGUGUAAACUGUCUGAGGUAGGAAAUGCUGCGGAUUUCGGUCUGUGGCGUGGCACUAUCGACCGAUCAUGAACCUUCGUGGUGAAAGAUUUGAGUUUGAGCACAUAUGUUGGUACCCGAAAGAUGGUGAACCUAUGCCGGAGUA